GACGAACGCUGGCGGCGUGCCUAAUACAUGCAAGUCGAGCGGACUGAUGGGAGCUUGCUCCCUGAUGUUAGCGGCGGACGGGUGAGUAACACGUGGGCAACCUACCUGUAAGACUGGGAUAACUCCGGGAAACCGGGGCUAAUACCGGAUAACCCGUUCCUCCUCAUGGAGGGACGGUAAAAGAUGGCUUCUUGCUAUCACUUACAGAUGGGCCCGCGGCGCAUUAGCUAGUUGGUAAGGUAAUGGCUUACCAAGGCGACGAUGCGUAGCCGACCUGAGAGGGUGAUCGGCCACACUGGGACUGAGACACGGCCCAGACUCCUACGGGAGGCAGCAGUAGGGAAUCUUCCGCAAUGGACGAAAGUCUGACGGAGCAACGCCGCGUGAGUGAUGAAGGUUUUCGGAUCGUAAAGCUCUGUUGUUAGGGAAGAACAAGUGCCGUUCGAAUAGGGCGGCACCUUGACGGUACCUAACCAGAAAGCCACGGCUAACUACGUGCCAGCAGCCGCGGUAAUACGUAGGUGGCAAGCGUUGUCCGGAAUUAUUGGGCGUAAAGCGCGCGCAGGCGGUCUUUUAAGUCUGAUGUGAAAGCCCACGGCUCAACCGUGGAGGGUCAUUGGAAACUGGGAGACUUGAGUACAGAAGAGGAGAGUGGAAUUCCACGUGUAGCGGUGAAAUGCGUAGAUAUGUGGAGGAACACCAGUGGCGAAGGCGACUCUCUGGUCU
RNAcentral lists this ribosomal RNA (726 nucleotides) under Alkalihalophilus lindianensis. RNAcentral's name for it is "bacterial SSU rRNA". It matches the Rfam family "Bacterial small subunit ribosomal RNA", at positions 28 to 735 of the family's 1533-position model. The record is from RNAcentral. Lineage: Bacteria; Bacillati; Bacillota; Bacilli; Caryophanales; Bacillaceae.